This is a non-coding RNA of Amborella trichopoda, 771 nucleotides long. The record is from RefSeq and is a predicted model, not a curated record. NCBI's taxonomy places the organism in Eukaryota, Viridiplantae, Streptophyta, Magnoliopsida, Amborellales, Amborellaceae.
GUUGCUCUAUCCAUCUCUCCCAUUCUCUCGCCCAUCUUACCCUCUCUCUCAGCUCACCUUCUCUCUUAGCAGAUCUCAACAUCGCUUUAUCUCCCAUCUCACCCUCUGUCUCUACAACCAUUGGCCUCACCCUCUCAGCUCAGAGUCACUCUCUACUAUCAGGAAGCCCAACAGAUUUCACUCUCUCUGUCUCUCUCCGAUCUCACCCUCUCUCUCUCUUUACAACCAUCAACCACUCUCUCUCUGCUCAGAGUCGCUCUCUCUACAACUAGGAGGCCCAACAGUUCUCACCCUUUCUCUCUCCGAUCACACACACUCUCUCUCUCUCUACAACCAUCAGCCUCGCCCUCUUAGCUCAGAGUUGCUCUCUCUACAACCAGGAAGCCGUGUCCUCCCUCUCUCCACAACCAGAUUGAAGGCCCUUACAAUUUCAAUUGAUUCUACAAGUUAUCGAGGAUAUCCACCUCGACAAUGCCUUAUGUGUGGUAUAGAUUGUGCUACGAGAGCAUCGUCAAGCUCAAGUAACCCGAACAGGAAAUAUUAUGAGUGUGCAAGAAGUAUUAUAAGUAUUUGCGACAACUUAUGAUUUUCUUAUGUAUAAUGAUUAUGUGUUUACUUGUACUAAUCUUUUCUAUUUUUGUAGUCCUUAUUCGAAACAUGUGAUUAGUUUUUGAAGUUGCCUUUAUACUAAUGUAAAUAUUCGAUAGAAGCGAUCAUUAUGAUCUUAGGCGUUCGCUUGAACCUGAUUAAUAUGAACCACUGAUUGACAAA